AGUGAACGCUGGCGGUAGGCCUAACACAUGCAAGUCGAACGGCAGCACAGUAAGAGCUUGCUCUUACGGGUGGCGAGUGGCGGACGGGUGAGGAAUACAUCGGAAUCUACUUUUUCGUGGGGGAUAACGUAGGGAAACUUACGCUAAUACCGCAUACGACCUACGGGUGAAAGCAGGGGAUCUUCGGACCUUGCGCGAUUGAAUGAGCCGAUGUCGGAUUAGCUAGUUGGCGGGGUAAAGGCCCACCAAGGCGACGAUCCGUAGCUGGUCUGAGAGGAUGAUCAGCAACACUGGAACUGAGACCCGGUCCAGACUCCUACGGGAGGCAGCAGUGGGGAAUAUUGGACAAUGGGCGCAAGCCUGAUCCAGCCAUACCGCGUGGGUGAAGAAGGCCUUCGGGUUGUAAAGCCCUUUUGUUGGGAAAGAAAAGCAGCAGGUUAAUACCCCGCUGUUCUGACGGUACCCAAAGAAUAAGCACCGGCUAACUUCGU
RNAcentral lists this ribosomal RNA (491 nucleotides) under uncultured bacterium. Its description in RNAcentral is "partial 16S ribosomal RNA". It matches the Rfam family "Bacterial small subunit ribosomal RNA", at positions 29 to 506 of the family's 1533-position model. The record is from RNAcentral.